CCUACGGGUGGCAGCAGUGGGGAAUAUUGCACAAUGGGGGAAACCCUGAUGCAGCGACGCCGCGUGAGUGAAGAAGGACUUCGGUAUGUAAAGCCCUAUCAGCAGGGAAGAAAAUGACGGUACCUGAUUAAGAAGCCCCGGCUAACUACGUGCCAGCAGCCGCGGUAAUACGUCGGGGGCAAGCGUUCUCCGGAUUUACUGGGUGUAAAGGGAGCGUAGACGGCAGCACAAGUCUGGAGUGAAAUGCCGGGGCUUAAACCCGGAACUGCUUUGGAAACUGUGCAGCUAGAGUGCAGGAGAGGUAAGUGGAAUGCGUGGUGUAGCGGUGAAAUGCGUAGAUAUUAGGAGGAACACCAGUGGCGAAGGCGGCUUACUGGACUGCAACUGACGUUGAGGCACGAAAGCGUGGGGAGCGAACAGGAUUAGAUACCCGAGUAGUC
RNAcentral lists this ribosomal RNA (440 nucleotides) under uncultured bacterium. Its description in RNAcentral is "partial 16S ribosomal RNA". It matches the Rfam family "Bacterial small subunit ribosomal RNA", at positions 338 to 795 of the family's 1533-position model. The record is from RNAcentral.